AACGUAGGUCACAAGCGUUGUCCGGAAUUACUGGGUGUAAAGGGAGCGCAGGCGGGAAGACAAGUUGGAAGUGAAAUCUAUGGGCUCAACCCAUAAACUGCUUUCAAAACUGUUUUUCUUGAGUAGUGCAGAGGUAGGAGGAAUUCCCGGUGUAGCGGUGGAAUGCGUAGAUAUCGGGAGGAACACCAGUGGCGAAGGCGGCCUACUGGGCACCAACUGACGCUGAGGCUCGAAAGUGUGGGUAGCAAACAGG
RNAcentral lists this ribosomal RNA (253 nucleotides) under Faecalibacterium prausnitzii. RNAcentral describes it as "partial 16S ribosomal RNA". It matches the Rfam family "Bacterial small subunit ribosomal RNA", at positions 524 to 776 of the family's 1533-position model. Lineage: Bacteria; Bacillati; Bacillota; Clostridia; Eubacteriales; Oscillospiraceae. The record is from RNAcentral.